RNAcentral lists this long non-coding RNA (317 nucleotides) under Panicum hallii. Its description in RNAcentral is "long non-coding RNA (PHAL_LNC000458)". Lineage: Eukaryota; Viridiplantae; Streptophyta; Magnoliopsida; Poales; Poaceae. The record is from RNAcentral.
AGCCCAACGUAGCAUAUACAGACAUGUAUUCUUCAUGUAUACUUCCUUUUUUUUCCAUAAAAGUUGGGUAUUACUGAAAAUACCCAUGCAUCACUGUAGCUCCGCCCCUGCCAAGCCACAUUUGGUUGGGAGCGUGUACAAGGAUGGAGCCAUUCCAUCCCAUUUAGAGAGUGUUUGGUUGAAGAGCUAGGGAAUACUCCCUCGGAUUCGGGAUGGACAGGCUCCGAGAAAAUGGUCGAACGAGUUCAUCCCCUCCGACGCCGUAUCUCGCCGUCUCCUUCCUGCACGCGCUUCCCUGUGUCGCCGCCCUCUGCUCC